This 112-nucleotide ribosomal RNA is filed under the name Periophthalmus magnuspinnatus. Lineage: Eukaryota; Metazoa; Chordata; Actinopteri; Gobiiformes; Gobiidae. The record is from RNAcentral.
UAAGAUGCACUCGCUGCUCAAAACCUGACCUCAUCAGACCUCAGAAGCAAAGCAAGAGGGACUGGUUGGUACUUGGAUGGGAGACGGCUAGGAAUUCCAGGUGCCAUUGUGU